This 256-nucleotide ribosomal RNA is filed under the name uncultured bacterium. RNAcentral describes it as "partial 16S ribosomal RNA". It matches the Rfam family "Bacterial small subunit ribosomal RNA", at positions 521 to 776 of the family's 1533-position model. The record is from RNAcentral.
UAAUACGAAGGGGGCUAGCGUUGCUCGGAAUCACUGGGCGUAAAGCGCACGUAGGCGGACUCUUAAGUCGGUGGUGAAAUCCUGGAGCUCAACUCCAGAACUGCCUUCGAUACUGGGAGUCUUGAGUUCGGGAGAGGUGAGUGGAACUGCGAGUGUAGAGGUGAAAUUCGUAGAUAUUCGCAAGAACACCAGUGGCGAAGGCGGCUCACUGGCCCGAUACUGACGCUGAGGUGCGAAAGCGUGGGGAGCAAACAGG